This 86-nucleotide transfer RNA is filed under the name Seminavis robusta. It matches the Rfam family "tRNA". Rfam says of the family: Transfer RNA (tRNA) molecules are approximately 80 nucleotides in length. Their secondary structure includes four short double-helical elements and three loops (D, anti-codon, and T loops). Further hydrogen bonds mediate the characteristic L-shaped molecular structure. tRNAs have two regions of fundamental functional importance: the anti-codon, which is responsible for specific mRNA codon recognition, and the 3' end, to which the tRNAs corresponding amino acid is attached (by aminoacyl-tRNA synthetases). tRNAs cope with the degeneracy of the genetic code in two manners: having more than one tRNA (with a specific anti-codon) for a particular amino acid; and 'wobble' base-pairing, i.e. permitting non-standard base-pairing at the 3rd anti-codon position. The record is from Rfam by way of RNAcentral. Lineage: Eukaryota; Bacillariophyta; Bacillariophyceae; Naviculales; Naviculaceae.
GCGCCAUUGGUUUAGUGGUAAAAUUCAACGUUGCCAGCACAUUACGCAAUCUCGUUGAGCCCUGGGUUCGAUUCCCAGAUGGCGCA